Long non-coding RNA from Vespula pensylvanica (western yellowjacket), 2100 nucleotides. RefSeq lists it as uncharacterized. The record is from RefSeq and is a predicted model, not a curated record. Lineage: Eukaryota; Metazoa; Arthropoda; Insecta; Hymenoptera; Vespidae. The transcript has 8 exons.
CGGCUAUGAAGAUAUAUGCCAUGGAAUGCAUUCCGUUGAACAACGUCGGUAUCGUCGUUAAAAUGAAAAUCAAAUAAAGAAAAUUGGAACCUUCGCCGAGCUUCUCGAGUGCAUUUAAAAGCGGCUCUCUCUGAUCGACUUGAAUAUCGUCCGACGUCGAUGAUGGAUGAAACAUACUGGAUAUAGUAACAGAUUAGUUAAACACGCGUAUGAUAAUAGAGUUCGUUUUGUAUGAUCACCGGAAAUGUACAUCACUAUUGAAGUGAGUACCGCACUCGGGAAGUUAAUAUUUUAAAAGGGGAAGUGCGUAGAAGUUCACGGUUAUCUUAAAUUAUCAACAAAAUACAAACGUUGGAAAAAUCUUCCGAUCGUAGGUUAUUCGAACACUUAUGUCACGAAGAAGUAGCAACAAGACUAAAGGUCUGGUUGAAAGUGCAUGACGAUCCUUCAGUUCUUAGUCGAUCGGCGAUCUGAUAACAUUUUGUAGCAUGAACGUCGUAAACAAGAUUGAAGAAGGCAUUUGCUAGAUGACUCAAUGCUCUUCCCCAAGAAUCAACUUUAUAAUUUAAUUCCUGUACGAGGGAGAAUGGUUCCUUGGUAUUAGUGUUUUCAACUUGUCUAAAAAGAAAAAGGGAGAGGAUGAUCGUCAAAUCCUGAAGGACAUUCUACGAUGCACUAAAUUCUUCCCUUUCAUCGAACAACUCCUUAGGGAUCGUGAUCGAAGCCUAGGAUUUCGUCGGACAUUAAUUCGAAUCACUUCCAGUAGGACGCAUAACGCUUAACCCCUUUACUUCAUCAACGAGACGUCAACGUGAUUGAACAUCUAGAGAAGGAUUUCGAGGAUGCCAGAUUGUUGUCCAGGAUGAAAUUUAAUCAAGGUGGACAAUCCAUCGAUGCAGUUGAAUGAAUUUUCCCUUUGAAGUUGGACGGGUCAAUCGAAUUGUCUUGUUCUCCAUCAAAAACUCGUCUCGAAAGGAGAAUACACUAACUCGUUCUACGCAGCACGUUGCAAGAGGAGAUUUGUUAUCUGGAUCAGAUUUAAGUGCGGAUAUUUAAUAUUGUUUAAAAAUAUCAUCAGGGAUCGAAGUUUUGUUCACGGACAGAAUGGAUUCCUUUCGAUUAACAGCAGGGUGUACGAUCCUGCUUCGCAGUCAUGGCCAUUAAUCUUCGAUUAAGUGCUCAACGAUUCGGUCAAGGGGAGCCAAGGCUGUCAGCCACCAGUAUGUCACCGUACAGACCAGCACCCCAACACAAUGACGGCCAUGCAUGCGAUCGAUAUGUGCACUCGACGGAAACGACCCAACGAAAGGUCGAUUAAAGUGAAAUCACGACUUGCCGUGAGUUGUCUGCGUAAGCUGAAAAAGGUUUUAUACUUUUGUUAUAAAACGAUGUUCUCGCGAUUGAAAAAAUUGUUUAAACCGUUUCAUUGCCUAUUAUUAAAUUAAUUUAAACAAUUGCAGACUGUAAUAGUUUUUCAUUUUUCUUUAUUGAUACUUAUCGAUAUGAUUGUAGUUAGUUUGGAUGUUGAAAGAUUUGAUUCGGGUAAUGUUUGAUUGGUUGUUGGGAGCGGGGUACAUGUAUCAACAAAAACCGAUCGAAUCCCCUAAAAUUCUAGAUCCCAAUAGAAUCUGUCUGGAUCCUGAACCUUCUGUCGCGUUAUGCACACAGUGAUAUAUCGUCGACAUAAUGGUUCUAUUGAAGCAUUACCAUUAUUGGCAAGAUUUGGGGAAACGAUCGAGCGUGCUAACGGAUUCGUCGCAGCUUGCUAGCUGUUUGCAAAUAGCUUCUCUCUCUUUCUCUCUCUUUCUCUUUAUACGAAAUUAUUGAUCGAAUGUUAAACUACGUGACGAAUUUCUAUGAUGUAUAUCUAGUAAAUUACCUGUAAAAUAUAUUUCUAAUUGCCUUUAAAUUUACGCGAGCGUGAUAUCAUUUUGAGGAAUUUUCAAAAUCAAAAAUGGCUACGACGAUAACGAUAAGAAUCAAUAAAAAGCUUUCUAACGGACGAUACAAUACAUUCUUAUGUUAUUUUAAAAUUAUUAUCUACUUUUUCAUUUUUGUUUGUUCGGAUGGCACCAUCAGAUUCGAUUAGCAACUGUUGUU